Molecule: ribosomal RNA, 303 nt
Filed under: uncultured bacterium
Lineage: Bacteria
Description: partial 16S ribosomal RNA
Rfam family: Bacterial small subunit ribosomal RNA
Source: RNAcentral
AGCAGUCGCCGCGGGAAUACGGAGGGUGCAAGCGUUAAUCGGAAUUACUGGGCGUAAAGCGCACGCAGGCGGUCUGACAAGUCAGAUGUGAAAUCCCCGGGCUUAACCUGGGAACUGCAUUUGAAACUGUCAGGCUGGAGUCUUGUAGAGGGGGGUAGAAUUCCAGGUGUAGCGGUGAAAUGCGUAGAGAUCUGGAGGAAUACCGGUGGCGAAGGCGGCCCCCUGGACAAAGACUGACGCUCAGGUGCGAAAGCGUGGGGAGCAAACAGGAUUAGAUACCCCGGUAGUCCCUGUCUCUUAUAA